GAAUCUGCCCUAUCAAAUGGCACAUCCCGGCGAAAGAAGAUUAAUGCCUUAUGAAGGAGAAGACGCCAUCUGAUUUUCAUUAAAGCUCCGGCGUUAUAGGAUGGGGAUGCGUCCGAUUAUGUAGACGGAGGGGUAACGGCCCUCUGUGCUGACGAUCGGUAGGGGUUCGAGAGGAAGGUCCCCCCACAGUGGAACUGAGACACGGUCCAGACUCCUACGGGAGGCAGCAGUGAGGAAUUUGGUCAAUGGGCGAUAGCCUGAACCAACCAAGUAGCGUGAGGGAAGACGGCCCUAUGGGUUGUAAACCUAUUUAGUCCGGGAAUAAAGUGGGCGACGUGUCGCUUAUUGCAUGUACCGGAAGAAUAAGGACCGGCUAAAUCCGUGCCAGCAGCCGCGGUAAUACGGAAGGUCCUGGCGUUAUCCGGAUUUAUUGGGUAUAAAGGGAGCGCAGGCGGUAUGAUAAGCGAGCAAUGAAAGACGGUGGCUCAACCUUCGAGGUGCUUUCCGAACUGUCGGACUUGCAUAUAUGCAAGGCAGGCGGAAUUCGUGGUGUAGCGGUGAAAUGCUUAGAUAUCAGGAAGAACCCCGAUUGCGAAGGCAGCUUGCCAGUGCGCCACUGACGCUAAAGCUCGAAAGUGCGGGUAUCAAACAGGAUUAGAUACCCUGGUAGUCCGCACGGUAAACGAUGGAUGCUCGCUGUUCGUUGCGUUUAUAGUGAUGAGCGGCCAAGCGAACGCUUUAAGCAUCCCACCUGGGGAGUACGCCGGCAACGGAAAACUAAAAGAAAUUGGGGGGGGCCCGCACAAGCGGAGGCACAUUUGGAUUUAUUAGAAAAGCGAGAGGAACCUCCCCCGG
Molecule: ribosomal RNA, 855 nt
Filed under: uncultured bacterium
Lineage: Bacteria
Description: bacterial SSU rRNA
Rfam family: Bacterial small subunit ribosomal RNA
Source: RNAcentral